AUUGAACGCUGGCGGCAUGUCUUACACAUGCAAGUCGAACGGCAGCACGGGUGCUUGCACCUGGUGGCGAGUGGCGAACGGGUGAGUAAUACAUCGGAACGUACCUUAUCGUGGGGGAUAACGCAGCGAAGGCUGUGCUAAUACCGCAUACGCCCUGAGGGGGAAAGCGGGGGAUCGCAAGACCUCGCGCGAUUAGAGCGGCCGAUGCCUGAUUAGCUUGUUGGUGGGGUAAAAGCCCACCAAGGCGACGAUCAGUAGCUGGUCUGAGAGGACGAUCAGCCACACUGGGACUGAGACACGGCCCAGACUCCUACGGGAGGCAGCAGUGGGGAAUUUUGGACAAUGGGGGCAACCCUGAUCCAGCAAUGCCGCGUGAGUGAAGAAGGCCUUCGGGUUGUAAAGCUCUUUUGUCAGGGAAGAAACACCGGCUCUAACACAGUCUGGGAAUGACGGUACCUGAAGAAUAAGCACCGGCUAACUACGUGCCAGCAGCCGCCGUAA
RNAcentral lists this ribosomal RNA (501 nucleotides) under uncultured bacterium. RNAcentral's name for it is "partial 16S ribosomal RNA". It matches the Rfam family "Bacterial small subunit ribosomal RNA", at positions 30 to 523 of the family's 1533-position model. The record is from RNAcentral.